Molecule: unclassified non-coding RNA, 209 nt
Filed under: plant metagenome
Description: partial contains small subunit ribosomal RNA, internal transcribed spacer 1, and 5.8S ribosomal RNA
Source: RNAcentral
CGUAGGUGAACCUGCGGAAGGAUCAUUCAUAAUAAGUGUUUUAUGGCACUUUUUUAAAUCCAUAUCCACCUUGUGUGCAAUGUCAGGGUUGAUUUUUCUCUCGAGAGGAUCAACCCCAAACAUCAACUAUAUCUCAACUCUUUGUCUGAAAAAUAUUAUGAAUAAAACAAUUCAAAAUACAACUUUCAACAACGGAUCUCUUGGCUCUC